UGAGGAACAUGACCUUCGGCGGGGGAUAGCCGGCCCAACGGCCGGGUAAUACCGCGUACGACCACAUGGGGACAUCCCUGAGUGGUGAAAGCAGCAAUGCGCCGAUGGAGUGCCUCGCGGCCUAUCAGCUAGUUGGUGAGGUAACGGCUCACCAAGGCGACGACGGGUAGCUGGUCUGAGAGGAUGGCCAGCCACAUUGGGACUGAGACACGGCCCAGACCUGUACCGGGAGG
RNAcentral lists this ribosomal RNA (233 nucleotides) under uncultured bacterium. RNAcentral's name for it is "partial 16S ribosomal RNA". It matches the Rfam family "Bacterial small subunit ribosomal RNA", at positions 118 to 347 of the family's 1533-position model. The record is from RNAcentral.